AUAUCUCUCUGUACGGGAAGGAUGAGAAGCUUCUACCAGGGUUCGAUUCGAGCGCAGCGAGAAAGCGUUGCCGCAGGCAACGACCCGAAGGGCGAAGCGCGCAGCGCUGAGUCAUU
RNAcentral lists this small RNA (116 nucleotides) under Salmonella enterica subsp. enterica serovar Typhimurium. RNAcentral's name for it is "partial RtT sRNA". It matches the Rfam family "RtT RNA", at positions 1 to 115 of the family's 130-position model. From Rfam's summary of the family: This family represents a bacterial cis-regulatory element known as RtT RNA. Lineage: Bacteria; Pseudomonadati; Pseudomonadota; Gammaproteobacteria; Enterobacterales; Enterobacteriaceae. The record is from RNAcentral.